UCAUAGAAUGAUAGAAUGAUGAGAGUUGUCUUUCUCCACCAAAAGCAACUAACAAUUUUGUGCUGGAGUUGGAGGCAUCCGAGACGUGUCAACACUAGAGGUUGUGAUUGCUUCAACCAGAUGAAGAAACCUCUUCCUGAGAUCAUGAGCAAGCUUCUCCAUGGCCAUCCUUUCUGGGUUUUGGGAGAGUUCAGAUCUUGAAUCAACACCAUAAGGUAGUAGUAUUAUUAUAUGUCAUGCUAAUCCAUGGCUUCUGAAAGGAAUGGUGAAACUAAUCAAUUGCCAGCUCUUUUAGAAGCUAGUGGACGGGCAUGCUAUUAUUACCAUCAGUGUCUUUUUAUUUAUUUAUUUUUCUUUUUGGGAACAAAGAUAUAAGCACUUCAAAUGAUUAUACUUAAUUAGUUUUUUUUUUACUUUGCUUUUCACAAUUUCCUCUGUAGUAUAAUUCCG
Long non-coding RNA from Vitis vinifera (wine grape), 450 nucleotides. RefSeq lists it as uncharacterized. The transcript has 2 exons. The record is from RefSeq and is a predicted model, not a curated record. Lineage: Eukaryota; Viridiplantae; Streptophyta; Magnoliopsida; Vitales; Vitaceae.